AGAGCGAACGCUGGCGGCAGGCUUAACACAUGCAAGUCGAGCGGGCGUAGCAAUACGUCAGCGGCAGACGGGUGAGUAACGCGUGGGAACGUACCUUUGGUUCGGAACAACCCAGGGAAACUUGGGCUAAUACCGGAUAAGCCCUUACGGGGAAAGAUUUAUCGCCGAAAGAUCGGCCCGCGUCUGAUUAGCUAGUUGGUGAGGUAAUGGCUCACCAAGGCGACGAUCAGUAGCUGGUCUGAGAGGAUGAUCAGCCACAUUGGGACUGAGACACGGCCCAAACUCCUACGGGAGGCAGCAGUGGGGAAUAUUGGACAAUGGGCGCAAGCCUGAUCCAGCCAUGCCGCGUGAGUGAUGAAGGCCCUAGGGUUGUAAAGCUCUUUUGUGCGGGAAGAUAAUGACGGUACCGCAAGAAUAAGCCCCGGCUAACUUCGCGCCAGCAGCCGCA
This 448-nucleotide ribosomal RNA is filed under the name uncultured bacterium. Its description in RNAcentral is "SSU rRNA". It matches the Rfam family "Bacterial small subunit ribosomal RNA", at positions 26 to 519 of the family's 1533-position model. The record is from RNAcentral.